Molecule: long non-coding RNA, 1189 nt
Filed under: Hordeum vulgare
Lineage: Eukaryota; Viridiplantae; Streptophyta; Magnoliopsida; Poales; Poaceae
Description: long non-coding RNA (HVUL_LNC018314)
Source: RNAcentral
UCUUAGAGUAAGGCUCCGCCUUCAUAUGAUAUUCCCACUAGGAGGGAUCAACUAACCUUGGAUUUUGUCGUAGAAGACUUCAAGUAGGUGAAGUAGUGGCGGAUGCUCAAAGUUGAUGAAGAUCAUCUUGCGUUGGGAGCAAUCCUUGUUGUUUUCAUACUCUUCUCACCUACAUGGGUUUGUCCGAAAGCAAAAAGAACAUAUGAAAGAAUAUCUAUGGAUAUGGAGUGAAGCACACAUGGGAUAAUGUCCAAAGAUGCAUUAAGUACCUUGUUCCUUGCUUACCUUUGAGGGAAUGUGUGACUCCUUGAACUAAUGCAUAUGGUUGAGGUUGAUUGCAAAUAUUCCUUGCCAAAAUGAAUAAGAGUGAAUUUCAUUGGUAGAGUCACCCCUCAAUAACUUCUAGUUCUUCCUCUUGGGAAUCCACACAAAUUGAUGGGAAUCCUUGGAGUUGUGGUAGCACUUGUUGAGGUAGGGCUAGUAGUAUCCUUGGGAAUCCGCUUGACCUUGGCUUGGGAUUCUUCUUCAAAUAGGUCAAUGUCAUCUUGAAGCUUUCCCUUGCCUUUGUGAUCUUGUGGUAGAAGGCCAUCUUGUGAGCUCGUUCCUUUGGAAGGAGUGGAAUGACACUUCUCUUCUUGGGGAACAAACUUGGGAGUGGGAUAUGGACUUUCUUCCCAAACAUCUCCGUUGAUGUUGAAGUAGCCAACACCUUGUUUCUUCUGAUGUCCUCCUUGCUUGUGCAUAAUUUCCUCAAAUUACUUACUUCCAGCAAGACUCUUGAAAACACCUCUCUCUAUAAUCCCUUUCAAUAGAUCAUUUGUUUUUGCUCAAGUGUAACUUGGCUAUGGGAAUAUUAGUGGAAACAAUAGAGGUACUAGCAACAACAUUAUUGGAUUUAGCUUUAGCAUUGUUGUUACUAGAUGAAGAAACCUUCUUGCCUUUGUUACUAGUGUUCCUAGCUUUAACUUGUGGAAGAAAGUUAGACAUGAGUAAUCAUUUGGCUAGAUAAGAAGAACUCUUCUUAUGAAGAUCGUCAUUGAUUGCUUUUAAGAACUCAUGCUCUUGCUCCAAGUUGAGCUUCUCAAAGCGUAGCUCUCAUGGGUUCUUGCAAGCUCUCUAUGAUAUUCUAGAGUUGUCUCAUGAGCUAACUUAAGAGUUUUUAAUUCUUGAGUUAGUCGUUCAAUUUCUU